RNAcentral lists this long non-coding RNA (741 nucleotides) under Malus domestica (apple). RNAcentral describes it as "long non-coding RNA (MDOM_LNC013847)". Lineage: Eukaryota; Viridiplantae; Streptophyta; Magnoliopsida; Rosales; Rosaceae. The record is from RNAcentral.
CCUAUGCAGCCGUAGGUGUUGGUGUAGAACUUUGCAAAGUUGUUAGUCAUUGGGUUGGCAGCCAGAUGCCUUACUUACAGAACCUGACAAGUCUGCGUAACCACUAGGCUGUUAACCUUGACUUUCUUCAAUUCCGUAGGUUGCGUAGCAAGUAUCAUAACACUUUAGGACUUGGUGUAGGUUGUUCCGCACUUGGCAGAGGUGAAGCUUAUCGACUACGUAGCAUGUUGGUAGUGGAUAAAACUUCGUUUAUGCGCGCCAGCUUGUUUAACCUUUCAGAAGAAUGUGCGGUUGUAUAAGUAACGCAGCUUUACUGCUCGAAGAGCAAGCUAUAAGCAGUCUUCCGAAAACCGUAGGCUACCUUAGUGCAUUCAGUAACAGCUUUAUGGUUCCAGGGCAGCCGUCUGUAGGGCGUACGUGUGUGCCCCCUCCGUCUCUAGGGCCCGAUUCCCCGCAGAUUAGGCCAAGAGACCCAAAAUCCUUCAGUUAGCUAAACCUUGAAAAAGACCAUUGUAGCUACUUCUAGGAAUCUCAGUACCAUCGUGCAUCUAGUUAUACUAGGGCAGCCAGGCUCAUCCACAUUUGGAUAUUCAGAGUGUAAAGUUUAUCCUCCUGUCUUGGAGAGCUGACCCAUAUAGGUGUUGGGGAAUUGGUUUACGCUCUCGCACUGGAGAGCAAUUAGUUGACCCCCUCGCACUGGAGAGCAUGGUUGGUCCCUCGAAGGGCGCAAUUCCUGCGAUG